GAAAUGCGAUAAGUAGUGUGAAUUGCAGAAUUCAGUGAAUCAUCGAAUCUUUGAACGCACAUUGCGCCCCUUGGUAUUCCAUGGGGCAUGCCUGUUCGAGCGUCAUUUGUACCCUCAAGCUCUGCUUGGUGUUGGGUGUUUGUCCCCGUCUCCGCGCGUGGACUCGCCCCAAAGUGAUUGGCAGCCGGCGUACUGGUCCCGGAGCGCAGCACAUGUCGCGCAAACGAGUGCCUUGGUACGGCGGCGUCCAUAAGCCCCUCUCUCACGCUCUUGACCUCGGAUCAGGUAGGGAUACCCGUUGAACUUAAGC
Molecule: unclassified non-coding RNA, 310 nt
Filed under: plant metagenome
Description: partial contains 5.8S ribosomal RNA, internal transcribed spacer 2, and large subunit ribosomal RNA
Rfam family: 5.8S ribosomal RNA (bases 1-105)
Source: RNAcentral